GAACCACAAGAUUAUGACCUGAGCUGAAAUCAAGAGUCGGACACUUAACCAACUGAGCCACCCAGGUGUCCCGGUUCACUCAAUUUCUUAACGCUUUUUUAUUUCCCUUCCCUUGCAGGUAACCUGGCCGUGAAUAGCAGGAGAUGCUCCCAAUGCAAGGAAGGGGGGUUGGCAGGAAGGCAGGAUUACAAGAAUCGCAUGAAAGGAGUUAUGGAUUCUCUCUGCCAGAGGCACAGAUGCACCGCAUUUUAUGUUCCACUUCCAGGACUUCACAAACCUGAAGGCCGUCCUCCACAGCCCAAGGAUAGAAGAAAGCGCUCGAUGAAACUUGGGAGAAAGAGUGUAUUUUGAUGAAGACAGAUCAGUAAAGAGUGAAGUAAGCAGCUCAGGGAAGGCAGAGGAUGAGGUGGAAAUGGUUUCGUUAGAAGUUUAGACAGAUGACACCCCGUCGUCAUUAACCCCGUUGUCAUUAACAACCCAGUCAUCAACCCACUCAGCAUGCACUGCAGUGAGUCAGUUUGCUAUGAACAGAAUUCUACUCUUUAAAUGGACACAAGGAACACAGUACGUUCUCAGUGGACUACAAGAUGUUGGCUUUCACAAAUUGCCCGGAUUUUCAGGAUCCUGGGUUAAGAGUACAGUACUUCUAUUCACGUUUUCUUCAAGAAAUUAUAGUGAUCAUUAAGGUUUUGUAAGUAAGCGUUUUUGGGAAUCCGUUAAGUGGAUAUUCUCAAAUGUGUGAGGCGUGUCCAGCAAUUUACUAGCCUGCCACCCACCAUACAGCGCCUGCAGGAAGUAGACUUCUGUCGGAGCACAGCUCUGGUCACGUCACCGGCCCCCUUUAUUAUCUGUAGUUUGCUUACACGUUUAUCAUGAAUGAAUGUUGAAUUGUGUCAGUUACCAUCGAUUGAGAUGUUUUCUCCUCUGUCCCUGAAUCAUUCUGAUCACAAAACACCACCGUGCAAACUAAAACAUAUUUCUCUCCCCGUUUAUAGUAAAAUGCUACUUCAACUCA
Molecule: long non-coding RNA, 1015 nt
Organism: Lynx canadensis (Canada lynx)
Lineage: Eukaryota; Metazoa; Chordata; Mammalia; Carnivora; Felidae
Exons: 3
Source: RefSeq, a predicted model, not a curated record